GACAGAGGGGGCAAGCGUUGCUCGGAAUUACUGGGCGUAAAGGGCGCGUAGGCGGGAUGGCAAGUCGGUCGUGAAAUCCUUCGGCUCAACCGAAGAACGUCGAUCGAUACUGCUGUUCUUGAGGGUUGCAGAGGAGACUGGAAUUCCCGGUGUAGCGGUGAAAUGUGUAGAGAUCGGGAGGAACACCGGUGGCGAAGGCGGGUCUCUGGGCGAUUCCUGACGCUGAGGCGCGAAAGCGUGGGGAGCAAACGGG
RNAcentral lists this ribosomal RNA (253 nucleotides) under uncultured bacterium. RNAcentral describes it as "partial 16S ribosomal RNA". It matches the Rfam family "Bacterial small subunit ribosomal RNA", at positions 524 to 776 of the family's 1533-position model. The record is from RNAcentral.